Molecule: non-coding RNA, 45 nt
Filed under: Schistosoma haematobium
Lineage: Eukaryota; Metazoa; Platyhelminthes; Trematoda; Strigeidida; Schistosomatidae
Also listed under: 1 other name
Source: RNAcentral
AUCCAGCUGAUGAGUCUGAAAUAGGAUGAAACGCAUGUUUUGGAU